AGUCCAACUAAAUGUCACCUUCUGAGGUCAUCCCUGAGCACUGUAUCUAAAAUAGCGGACCCCCUGCCCCAACAUCCCAUUUUAUUGUCUUCCUAGCACCUUAUCACUCUGUGAAGUUAUCUUCUUUGUUCACUGGCUCUUCCUACUAAAGUGAGUUGCGUGAGAGCGGGGGCCUUCCUUUCACGUUCACUACAUCCCAGAGUUUAGGUUAGUGCCUGGCUCCUGGUUGGCACUCAGCAUUUUGCAUCAUGUGUUUGAAAAAUUACAAAAGUCCAUUGUUGCUUGGAUGAAGGAAAGAGUCACUGGAUACGAAAAUGAAAGACAGGUGAAGAUCUGAACUGCAGAGGGUGAUUCUGGCCUUGAAAAGAAACCAAGAUAAAAGGAAACAGCUCUUGGGAAUUAUAAACGAAACAAAACCAGAGACUCAUUGCCCCAUUUUCAUCUCUUUAGUAGUUUGGUUUUCAGUGACUUGCAGUAUAUGUACUAUAGCGCAUUUCUUCUUUGCUACUGGAUUUGAUUCUCCUGAUCCUUUUCCCAGUUUAUACGUACUAAAUCCUGAAGACCUUUCAUUUCUUCAUUCCACAAAUGUUUACUGAAUGCCUGCCAUGUGCAAGAUAUGAUUGUUCUUUUGCCGUCACUUUCAGAUCGUCCAGACUUGAACUGAGGGGCAUUGCUGGCUUGAAAAUGAUCCAAGAACAAAAGAAACACCUCUCAAAGGUCAUCCACUAAACAAACAAAAACUGAGAAACGUACGUUUUUCUUCUCCUUGGGACUGAAUCUGGGCUCUAACUUUGGAUUUUCAGUAGGAAGACAACCUAUGAGCUUCCUCAACCCGAAAACUGUCUGCCCAUGAUCUGGUUCAGCCCCCACCUUCUGGACUCGGAACAGGGCCUGGGAGGCGACGACACGCAGAGAGGGCUCAGGGUCACGCAGCAGAUCUCUCAGAUCUAAGUGGCAAGAAACCCCAGGGUGGAGGUGAAGACCUAUGGAAAUGAUCACUAGUUCAGACACCAAACAGCCAACAUGCCUACAGAAGCUGGGAUAAAGGGCGAACUUCUUGCAAGCCUCUGUCUGAAAGUUUGUAUGUUUAUAGGUCAAUUCCAACUUUGACCUACAAAACUUACUCGUUUCCAAGUUGCCAAAUAUUUCACUCCUUUACAAUAAUCACACUGCCAAGUAGUCUACUUAAAGUCAAAUUGUUGGACCUGCUAAGCUAUGUCUAAUAUUGUUAACUUCUAAGUUAAGAGAAAAACACUGUUAUUUUUCUGUUCUUCUUUCUAUUCAUUUAUUUACACAAUGUAUACUUUUAUUUUUUGUCUAAAUGGAACCAUAUUUUACAUAUUAUCUAAUUAUUGUUUAUUUAAUCACAUUGCAUCAUCAUUUAUCCAAGUUAUUUAAAUAUUUUUCUACAAUGUCUUUCAUGGCUGCAUAUGAUUCUACAAUGUGGAUAUGCUAUACUUAACUAACUUCCUAUUGUUUCUAAUCUUGGAUGUCUCCCAUUUUUGCUCUUUUAAAUAACACUGAAAUGAACAUUCCUGUAACUAUUUCUGCUUAUUUUCAUAGGUUAAAUUCCUAGAAGUGGGAUUGAUAAGUCAAAGGAUAUGAUUAUUUAAAGGGUUUUAAUAUGUAUUGCCAAACUUCCCUAUAAAAAAGUUGUUUCAAUUUAUGCUCAUCUCAACACAGUGGAUCAUAAUGUCAGUUUUCCUUUAACACAUCAAUAUUGAGUAUUAGUAGUCUUUGCCAUUUUGACAGAAGAACACAUACUGGUAUCUCAUCAUUGUUUUGCUUUAUAAACUUUUGAUUACUAGUAAUACUGAAUAUUUUUCAUAUAUUUAUUGCCCAUUUAUCUUCUAUGAACUGAUCAUUCAUAAUAUUUUCCACUUUUCUUUUGAGAAAGUACUGGUUUAAGGAAUAUUUACCCUUCAUCAUCUUGCAAAUAAUCCCUUCCAUGUUAUUGUUUAUUUUUCAGUUUUGUCAUUUUCUCUUUUUUUUCAAAGGUGGUUUUUAAAAUUUUUAUGUAGACAAAUCUAUUAUUCUUUUACUUUAUGGAUCUGUGUUUUGAUCCUAUUAGAAAAAGCUCUCUUUUUAAUUUCUAAUUCUCCAAGGUCACAAAAUGCUCAGGAUCUCUUCAUACUAUGGAGCUUUUUAUUACUUAAGUUGUAUUUUAGCCUUUAAAUUCACGUUUAUUUCCAAAAUGGAAUACUUUCAGUUCUUGCAUUAAGAUCUGGCUACAUGUUCCACAGAAUACAUGAGGGGGCAGACAUAAAUUUUGCAAUCCAAAGGAAGUGAAACUUAUUUUGUCAUGAAAUUGAUUUAAAUUGAUAUUUAAAAUUUUAUUUUUGUUUAAAUUUAGCUUAAAAUUACCUGUGGUAAAUGACAUAAACUUGUUUAAAAAAGAGUGCUAGGGUGUUCUACCCUAUUUCUAAGACAGAUAAGCCACUGUUAGGGAAGGAAGAGGGUGGGAUUAUUCCAUUAGGUUGAACCACAUAAGACUGCUGAUAUUUGACCAGUUUUGCCUUACAAAAUGGUAAUUUCAUAUGGUUCACCCUAAUAUAUAUGUAUAUAAUAUAAUAAUACAUAUAGAUAACUUGAGAGUAGAAAAGGAACUUUGGUUCUCCAGUGUUUUAGAUUAUAAUUUCCUUUUAAUUGAAUCAACCAAGUAGAAUCCUACUUCACAGAAUAAAAUAAUCUACAUGACUUUUCCUAUUUUUUUUUGCUUCUGAUAUCUGUGGAGAAGUAGGAGACCUUAGAGAAAAGUGGCAUGAUCUUUCUUAAAUAAGUUUCAGCUUCUGGCUAUUUUACCAGUUAUUUAUUUUUACUUAAAAAGCAGUGAAUUGUUCAGUAUUUUAAUUUGGUUCUCAAAGUACAUGCUUUUGGAUUGUGAGAUUUAGCAUUUUGUGGCAUUUUCUAAUUGUAGGACUACUUUUUAAGUGGGAAUAAAUCAUUCUUUGUGUGCUAA
Non-coding RNA from Equus caballus (horse), 2959 nucleotides. The record is from RefSeq and is a predicted model, not a curated record. NCBI's taxonomy places the organism in Eukaryota, Metazoa, Chordata, Mammalia, Perissodactyla, Equidae.